RNAcentral lists this unclassified non-coding RNA (373 nucleotides) under soil metagenome. RNAcentral describes it as "partial contains 5.8S ribosomal RNA, internal transcribed spacer 2, and large subunit ribosomal RNA". The stretch from base 1 to 121 matches the Rfam family "5.8S ribosomal RNA", at positions 35 to 154 of the family's 154-position model. The record is from RNAcentral.
GAUGAAGAACGUAGCGAAAUGCGAUAAGUAAUGCGAAUUGCAGAAUUCCAGUGAGUCAUCGAAUCUUUGAACGCACAUUGCGCCCUUUGGUAUUCCGGAGGGCAUGCCUGUUCGAGCGUCAUUAUCACCCCUCAAGCCCUCGGCUUGGUGUUGGACGGUUUGGUGGAGGCCCCCUCGGGGGCUCCUGCCCCUCCCAAAGACAAUGACGGCGGCCUCGUUGGACCCCCGGUACACUGAGUUCUUCACGGGACACGUAUCGGACACAUGGGUUUACGGGACACGGUCUGCCUCCCCUCAGGGAGAAUCUUUCUAAGGUUGACCUCGGAUCAGGUAGGGAUACCCGCUGAACUUAAGCAUAUCAAUAAGCGGAGGA